Molecule: ribosomal RNA, 497 nt
Filed under: uncultured bacterium
Lineage: Bacteria
Description: partial 16S ribosomal RNA
Rfam family: Bacterial small subunit ribosomal RNA
Source: RNAcentral
GAUGAACGCUGGCGGCGUGCCUAAUACAUGCAAGUCGAGCGAACAGACGAGGAGCUUGCUCCUCUGACGUUAGCGGCGGACGGGUGAGUAACACGUGGAUAACCUACCUAUAAGACUGGGAUAACUUCGGGAAACCGGAGCUAAUACCGGAUAAUAUAUUGAACCGCAUGGUUCAAUAGUGAAAGACGGUUUUGCUGUCACUUAUAGAUGGAUCCGCGCCGCAUUAGCUAGUUGGUAAGGUAACGGCUUACCAAGGCAACGAUGCGUAGCCGACCUGAGAGGGUGAUCGGCCAGACUGGAACUGAGACACGGUCCAGACUCCUACGGGAAGCAGCAGUAGAGAAUCUUCCGCAAUGGACGAAAGCUUGACGGAGCAACGCCGCGUGAGUGAUGAAGGUCUUCGGAUCGUAAAACUCUGUUAUUAGGGAAGAACAAAUGUGUAAGUAACUAUGCACAUCUUGACGGUACCUAAUCAGAAAGCCACGGCUAACUACGUG